GAUGAACGCUGGCGGCGUGCCUAAUACAUGCAAGUCGAGCGAACGGACGAGAAGCUUGCUUCUCUGAUGUUAGCGGCGGACGGGUGAGUAACACGUGGAUAACCUACCUAUAAGACUGGGAUAACUUCGGGAAACCGGAGCUAAUACCGGAUAAUAUUUUGAACCGCAUGGUUCAAAAGUGAAAGACGGUCUUGCUGUCACUUAUAGAUGGAUCCGCGCUGCAUUAGCUAGUUGGUAAGGUAACGGCUUACCAAGGCAACGAUGCAUAGCCGACCUGAGAGGGUGAUCGGCCACACGGGAACUGAGACACGGUCCAGACUCCUACGGGAGGCAGCAGUAGGGAAUCUUCCGCAAUGGGCGAAAGCCUGACGGAGCAACGCCGCGUGAGUGAUGAAGGUCUUCGGAUCGUAAAACUCUGUUAUUAGUGAAGAACAUAUGUGUAAGUAACUGUGCACAUCUUGACGGUACCUAAUCAGAAAGCCACGGCUAACUACGUG
This 497-nucleotide ribosomal RNA is filed under the name uncultured bacterium. RNAcentral's name for it is "partial 16S ribosomal RNA". It matches the Rfam family "Bacterial small subunit ribosomal RNA", at positions 28 to 507 of the family's 1533-position model. The record is from RNAcentral.